AGGAUUAACGCUGGCGGCGUGCAUGAAACAUGCAAGUCGAGCGCGGUGUGAUGAGGGGUAACCCAAUUCACAUCUAGCGGCGAACGGGUGAGUAACACGUGAGCAACCUACCUUUGAGUUGGGGAUAGCCCUGGGAAACCAGGAUUAAUACCCGAUGUGGUCACAACAGGACAUCCUGAUGUGAGUAAAGGCGUAAGCCGCUCAAUGACGGGCUCGCGGCCUAUUAGCUUGUUGGUGGGGUAACGGCCUACCAAGGCGAUGAUGGGUAGCUGGUCUGAGAGGACGAUCAGCCACACUGGGACUGAGACACGGCCCAGACUCCUACGGGAGGCAGCAGUUAGGAAUUUUCCGCAAUGGGCGAAAGCCUGACGGAGCAACGCCGCGUGAGUGAUGAAGACCUUCGGGUUGUAAAGCUCUGUCGGAGGGAAGAACACAAUGACGGUACCUCGAAAGGAAGCACCGGCUAACUCUGCGCCAGCAGCCGCGGUAAU
This 491-nucleotide ribosomal RNA is filed under the name uncultured bacterium. RNAcentral describes it as "SSU rRNA". It matches the Rfam family "Bacterial small subunit ribosomal RNA", at positions 26 to 524 of the family's 1533-position model. The record is from RNAcentral.